This 979-nucleotide ribosomal RNA is filed under the name Veillonella sp. RNAcentral describes it as "partial 23S ribosomal RNA". It matches the Rfam family "Bacterial large subunit ribosomal RNA", at positions 1944 to 2925 of the family's 2925-position model. The record is from RNAcentral. Lineage: Bacteria; Bacillati; Bacillota; Negativicutes; Veillonellales; Veillonellaceae.
AACGGUCCUAAGGUAGCGAAAUUCCUUGUCGGGUAAGUUCCGACCCGCACGAAAGGCGUAACGAUUUGGGCACUGUCUCAACGAGAGACUCGGUGAAAUCAUAGUACCUGUGAAGAUGCAGGUUACCCGCGACAGGACGGAAAGACCCCGUGGAGCUUUACUGUAGCCUGAUAUUGAAAUUCGGCACAGCUUGUACAGGAUAGGUAGGAGCCUUUGAAACGUGAGCGCUAGCUUACGUGGAGGCGCUGGUGGGAUACUACCCUAGCUGUGUUGGCUUUCUAACCCGCACCACUUAUCGUGGUGGGAGACAGUGUCAGGCGGGCAGUUUGACUGGGGCGGUCGCCUCCUAAAAGGUAACGGAGGCGCUCAAAGGUUCCCUCAGAAUGGUUGGAAAUCAUUCAUAGAGUGUAAAGGCAUAAGGGAGCUUGACUGCGAGACCUACAAGUCGAGCAGGGUCGAAAGACGGACUUAGUGAUCCGGUGGUUCCGCAUGGAAGGGCCAUCGCUCAACGGAUAAAAGCUACCCCGGGGAUAACAGGCUUAUCUCCCCCAAGAGUUCACAUCGACGGGGAGGUUUGGCACCUCGAUGUCGGCUCAUCGCAUCCUGGGGCUGUAGUCGGUCCCAAGGGUUGGGCUGUUCGCCCAUUAAAGCGGUACGCGAGCUGGGUUCAGAACGUCGUGAGACAGUUCGGUCCCUAUCCGUCGUGGGCGUAGGAAAUUUGAGAGGAGCUGUCCUUAGUACGAGAGGACCGGGAUGGACAUACCUCUGGUGUACCAGUUGUCGUGCCAACGGCAUAGCUGGGUAGCUAUGUAUGGACGGGAUAAGUGCUGAAAGCAUCUAAGCAUGAAGCCCCCCUCAAGAUGAGAUUUCCCAACUUCGGUUAUAAGAUCCCUCAAAGAUGAUGAGGUUAAUAGGUUCGAGGUGGAAGCAUGGUGACAUGUGGAGCUGACGAAUACUAAUCGAUCGAAGACUUAAUCAA